UAGGGAAUCUUCCGCAAUGGACGAAAGUCUGACGGAGCAACGCCGCGUGAGCGAUGAAGGCCUUCGGGUCGUAAAGCUCUGUUGUCAGGGAAGAACAAGUACCGGAGUAACUGCCGGUACCUUGACGGUACCUGACCAGAAAGCCACGGCUAACUACGUGCCAGCAGCCGCGGUAAUACGUAGGUGGCAAGCGUUGUCCGGAAUUAUUGGGCGUAAAGCGCGCGCAGGCGGUCCUUUAAGUCUGAUGUGAAAGCCCACGGCUCAA
RNAcentral lists this ribosomal RNA (265 nucleotides) under uncultured Mesobacillus sp. RNAcentral's name for it is "partial 16S ribosomal RNA". It matches the Rfam family "Bacterial small subunit ribosomal RNA", at positions 355 to 612 of the family's 1533-position model. The record is from RNAcentral. Lineage: Bacteria; Bacillati; Bacillota; Bacilli; Caryophanales; Bacillaceae.